GAUGAACGCUGGCGGCGUGCUUAACACAUGCAAGUCGAACGAGAAGUGGAGACGGAAACCUUCGGGCGGAUGACUUUAUUUCGAGUGGCGGACGGGUGAGUAACGCGUGGGUAACCUGCCUCAUACAGGGGGAUAACAGUUGGAAACGACUGUUAAUACCGCAUAAGACCACAGCACCGCAUGGUGCGGGGGUAAAAACUCCGGUGGUAUGAGAUGGACCCGCGUUCGAUUAGCCAGUUGGCGGGGUAACGGCCCACCAAAGCGACGAUCGAUAGCCGAUCUGAGAGGAUGACCGGCCACAUUGGGACUGAGACACGGCCCAAACUCCUACGGGAGGCAGCAGUGGGGAAUAUUGCACAAUGGGGGAAACCCUGAUGCAGCGACGCCGCGUGAGUGAAGAAGUAUUUCGGUAUGUAAAGCUCUAUCAGCAGGGAAGAAAAUGACGGUACCUGAGGAAGAAGCCCCGGCUAACUACGUG
This 478-nucleotide ribosomal RNA is filed under the name uncultured bacterium. RNAcentral describes it as "partial 16S ribosomal RNA". It matches the Rfam family "Bacterial small subunit ribosomal RNA", at positions 28 to 507 of the family's 1533-position model. The record is from RNAcentral.